GGAAUAUUGCACAAUGGAGGAAACUCUGAUGCAGCGACGCCGCGUGAGUGAAGAAGUAUUUCGGUAUGUAAAGCUCUAUCAGCAGGGAAGAAAAAAAUGACGGUACCUGACUAAGAAGCCCCGGCUAACUACGUGCCAGCAGCCGCGGUAAUACGUAGGGGGCAAGCGUUAUCCGGAUUUACUGGGUGUAAAGGGAGCGCAGGCGGAAGGCUAAGUCUGAUGUGAAAACCCGGGGCUCAACUCCGGGACUGCAUUGGAAACUGGUCAUCUUGAGUGUCGGAGAGGCAAGUGGAAUUCCUAGUGUAGCGGUGAAAUGCGUAGAUAUUAGGAGGAACACCAGUGGCGAAGGCGGCUUGCUGGACGACAACUGACGCUGAGGCUCGAAAGCGUGGGGAGCAAACA
This 402-nucleotide ribosomal RNA is filed under the name uncultured bacterium. Its description in RNAcentral is "bacterial SSU rRNA". It matches the Rfam family "Bacterial small subunit ribosomal RNA", at positions 358 to 774 of the family's 1533-position model. The record is from RNAcentral.